This is a long non-coding RNA of Piliocolobus tephrosceles (Ugandan red Colobus), 1914 nucleotides long. NCBI's taxonomy places the organism in Eukaryota, Metazoa, Chordata, Mammalia, Primates, Cercopithecidae. The record is from Ensembl.
AUGUAUGACUAUUAUAAAUUAAUAAAUGUAGAUAAAAUAUUAUUAUUUAAACAAAUUAAAGAUUAUGAAUCUAAUAAAAAAUUAGAUCUUAUGCAUCAAAAUAUUAUUAAAUUUGUUCAUGGUAUAUCAGGUUUAUUAGAAAAUAUAGAUUUUUAUUUUUAUACACCUUAUUUAGGAGAUUUAAAUUUAUCAGAUACUGAAUCAUUAGUUUUUUUUUCUUACUUAAGGGAUGUUACUUCAUCUAGUGAUAAAUUAUUUUACAAUUUAGAGUAUGAUAAUGAUACAUUUUUGUAUAAUCACUAUACUAACGAGCGGAGUAAUGAGCGGAGUAAUGAGCGGAGUAAUGAGCGGAGUAAUGAGCGGAGUAAUGAGCGGAGUAACGAGCGGAGUAACGAGCGGAGUAAUGAGCGGAGUAAUGAGCGGAGUAACGAGCGGAGUAAUGAGCGGAGUAAUGAGCGGAGUAAUGAGCGGAGUAAUGAGCGUGUACGUAGUGAAGGUAUGCGUAGUGAAAGUAUGCGUGACGAUACAUUAGUAAACAGUGCAAAAACAAACUUACAAGAUAACAUACCACUUAACGCACAUAAUAGUGAUGACCUAGUAUUUUUACUUCUGAAAUCAAAAGCAAUUAACGAUGUAAAUCGAGCUAUUGAACUAGCCACGAAUGUAUAUAAAAAAAAAAACGUAAGUUUAUAUUGGGGAAACACAUACGAUGUUGCAGAUUAUGAAAUAAGAAAUGAUCCAUUAGUAAAUAAAAGUGGGAAUACUAAAAAUGUAUUUAACAAAAGUAACAAUAAAUUAGACAAAUUCCGUAUUCCGUUAAACGAAUUCGGUGCAUCUCUAUUUUUAUGUGACGUAAAUAAUUCAACUAAAAUUUUAACUAGUAACAUAGAUAAGUUACAAAAAUUAAAAGAACACGAUUUAUGUUAUGUACAUAAUGCAUUAACCUAUACCUGUCUUAAAUUUUUAAAUGAUAGUGGUAAUGAAGAGGAAGAUGUAGAUGAUUUAUUAAAAAAAUAUGAAAAAAAAGAAAAAGUAGAAACAACAAAUAAUAUUAUGACAUUACAGAUAAUGAUUAUUAUUGGAGAAAUGUUUAGAAGUAUAAGAAAAAUGAGAAAAAAUGAAAAAUAUAAUUUAAAAAAAAUAUUACAAACAAAUGUUUUAUCUGAUAUUUAUAAUGAUGUUAGUAUAUAUGAUGAAUAUAUGGAUAUGAACAAUAUUGAUUCUAUUUUUAAAAAAAUAAAAAUAAAAUAUCCUUUAAAUAAUAACAUACUAUUAAAUAAAACAAAUAGAGAAGAAAUAGCUUCUUAUUUUUUAAAUUAUUAUAUUAAAUAUUUAUUUCAUUUUGAUUUUCCAAAUAAUGUUACUAUUAAAUUUGUUAAAAAUAUAUCAGGUUUAACUUUUUAUGAUUAUAAUUUUGACUAUAUAAAAAAUGAUAAUAUUAUAUAUAUCAAUGAAGAUAUAAACAAUUCGUUACUGUUGUCUAGACUUAUACUAGACGAGUGUUUAAAUAUAUAUGAACAAUAUACUACAUAUGUACAUAAAUAUGGUGGGAAUACAGAUAACAAUACUAUAAAAGAAUCUAAAAGGAAAGCUAAAGAAAUUGUAAAAAACGAUCAGGUUUAUGAUGAAAGUUUAAACGAGUUAAAUCAGGAAAGUAAAGACGUAAUGGAUAAUAAUACUGUUGAACAUAUGGACAAUUAUUCAGAAGAAAAUAUAAAUAGUAAUUACGUAAGUUUAGGAAACGUGCGAGAAGUGGCAACUGUUGGUGGUGGUGGAAAAGUGGAAACUGUUGGGGGUGGCGAAGAAGUGGUGGAUGACAACGUUACAGAUGACAACGUUACAGAUGACNNNNNNNNNNCGUUACAGAUGACAACGUUACAGAUGACAACGUUACAGAUGACGACGAAAAUGUAG